Molecule: non-coding RNA, 1306 nt
Organism: Biomphalaria pfeifferi
Lineage: Eukaryota; Metazoa; Mollusca; Gastropoda; Planorbidae
Source: the annotation of a GenBank genome assembly
UAAGCAUGAGCAUCAUGUAUAAUAUGAGCAUGUUACUGUUAGAAUAUGACAGUGUGACCCACUAAGUACAGGUAUGCAAAAUGUUGAUGCAUCUUUUACUUUCUCAUUUACAGAGUAGAUAGACAAAAUGAUUUUUUUUUUUUACUUAUAUGUAUUUGAUUAGUUGUUUUGAAGAAUCAUUUGAUAAUAUAAAAAUGAACUUAGUAUAAAGACAUACAAAUGUAUUUUUAAUUUAAAGAUAUCCUUAGUUUAUUCCCUCCUCCUCAUUUAUCUAUAUUAUAUUUAUACAUAUCUUUCAACAUAAAGCAUUUUCUACUUUGCAUGAAGCAGGUCAAGUCAUUCUAUAGAAUGUUUUUUUAAAAUUUGAUUUAUCACUAGGUACUUACCUACUCUUAUGUACACUAUAGCAAGGUCAUCUCAAUAGAAAAUGAAAAAUGACUUACAACAUAGGGUCUUCAACAAUCUAGGCAAAAUUUUGGCUUAAAAAAUCUUAAUACUUUAACAAUGUGAAACUGUAAAUACAGUAACAAUGUAAAACAAUAAACACAGUAAGUCACUUUAACUUGCGUGAUAGUUUGAUUCAUGUUUUAUUAAGGGUCUUACCAUUCAAAACAUAUUCAAGUACCCCCUGCCACAUUUUGAAUACUCAUAUAGUAGUUCAUACAAUAAAAUUGAUUUAACCGACAUAUUUCAUCAAACAAACACAUUAAAUUUUUAAAAUAUAACAAUGUUUUCAAAAGCUCUUACUUGAAAUCGAUAAAUGCCAUUCAUGAAAUCCCUUCACCCAGCAAAUGCAGACAAUUCUUCAAACAAAAAACCUUAUCAGCCAAGUAAAAAUUUCUACGAUAAUAGUUUAUUACAAGUGAAAUUCACUUCAAUCAGACAAAAAUAGAAAACAAAGAAAAACAAAAUAAGUUCCAAAACCUGUCAAAGCUAAAGAGAAAUGAUCAUCUCACAGCUGAUGUGUGUGAUACAACAUUGCUAAGUACUAAAAAUGGAAUAGAAAUAAAGUAUAAAUAAAGUUUUUUGGCAAACCAUUACAUUCUAAACUGACACUGAAACAGAGAACCACCUAAAUGGAUCAAAUAAAACAAGGAGAAUAAAAGUAAAGUUAAAAGAACUUUCAACCAAUCAAAAAAAUUAUAUUCUUAACCUGUACUGGGAACAAAAAGACUCUGAGUAUCAACCCUGAAAAAAGGGAACUGUAAAACUAAAGCCAAAAGAAAAUUUCACUCAAUAAAAGUGCCAAUGAGAUUUAACAUUAAUGAUACUUUUUUUUGGACUAGAAACUGCAACUUUGCCUAUA